GCUGGAAAGGAGAUGGAUUUGGCAGUAGGAUCUGGAAAGUUUGGCGCGGUGGCAAUCUGCGAGAUGUAGGAUCUGGCUAAGUACGGGGCCAGUUUCCCUCCAGUCCUAUAAGGCUCUCUCUCGGAGCUUGGAAGUUUUCAUGCUCCAGGCAGCUUUUGACUGGUUGUGGUGGCAUCAUAAAUGAGUUUCCAUAGUAAGUUGUAUGCGGAAAAAGGAAAUUAAAUUCCGAGAGGGUGUUUUGUUGUGACUGAUGCCAGAAUUUCUCUGAGAAUUUUAUUAAGAUUCAGUCAGUCUAUAAAAGUACUUUUUAGUUCUCUGAAGAUAUUAAUUAAAAAAUGGUUAAAAAAAAAAAAAAGCCAGAAGUGUCUCCUUUGUGAGCUUUUGAAAUGUAAUCUUCCUAAAUCUUUGGGGGAAAAAAAUGAAGUCUAAAAAAAAACCACAGAGCUGUAUGUUUUAAGAGCAGUUCCUUCAAAGUAAUGUUUUCCUUCUCUUCCUGUCCUUUCUCCUCCUCUCACAUUAUUCCUAGUUUUUACGUUUAUGACCUUUUUUUUUUUUUUGCUUUUUAGGGCCGCACGCGUGGCAUGUGGAGGUUCCCAGCCUAGGGGUCUCAUCAGAGCUGCAGCUGCCCGUCUACACCACAGCCACGCCAGACCUACACUGCAGCUCAUGGCAAAGCUGGAUCCUUAACCCACUGAGCGAGCCAGUGAUCAAACCUGCAACCUCCUGGUUCCUAAUUGGAUUCAUUUCUGCUGCGCCACAACGGGAACUCCAAUUUUUUUUUUUUUUUGAUGUUGAAUGUGCCUUCUUUUCUCCUGAGUUUACUCAUCUUCUUUCAUCAAGAAGGGGGAGCACGGUGAGGUAGUGAAGAGCACGGGGUCCGGAGCCAGGCUGGGGACAGCAAGGGUCAUGGUGGUUCUUGGAGAGCCGGGCUCUCCUCUGCUUGGAUUCACCACCCCCUACUCCAGAGGCUCUUGAGGGCAAUUAUUAUUCUGUCACACCGAUGAGGGAACGGGCACAGAAGUGCCUGUGUCCACACAGCCAGUGAGGGGGUGGCCUUGGUGGCAGCUGUGAUCCCUGUGACUCCACCGCAGGGCUAGGCAGAGGUCCUGCUCCCCUGCCAGGGUGGGCUCCGUCCUAUAGGCAGGGGCUUCGUUAAGUGAGAGGGUCAGGACUGUGGUUUUGAAAGGUGGCCUCAUGGGCAGUGUGCAGUAUGACAUGAGCAGCACGGAAAUGGGCAUGAGACAGGGCGGGAGCUUGAACUGAAGACGGCGGCAGUGGUGACAGAGCAAAGGGGACAGGUUGGCGUGGGUGCUGCUCAGUCGUCUGGAUUGGGGCCCAGAGAGGGAGGAGGUGAGUCUGGGAGCGCUUUCCUCUCCUCAGCCUUCCCUACUGCUGGUUUUCAUCCCCGCAGGCUGGGUGGGUAUUGGAGAUACUCACUCUGUGCAGACUGAAAGCAGUCUCUUUAGGAAUCAAGGUCACCUCCUUUGUGCCCUGUGACAGCCAGAGAAAGGUGCCUGAGCAAAACCCCAAUGCGUCUUCCCCGGUCUUUGCCCACCUGCUCUGGCCUUAUCGUUUGCCCCUUUCCUGGAGCAUCUCAGGAUGGAAUUUAGGUUCUCAGACCCCAGUUAGGGAAAUACCGGUUUGAACAUUCAAACUUAAACUGAAAGUAUUGAAAGGAAAAAGCCCCUAAAGAAGGAAGCUUCUCUGGGGUGUAGGGGGUGCCCCACCGUUCCCCAGUGGACCCCCCCAGGGGCUGUGGUCCUCAGUUCUGGCUGUUCCCCAAGGGCUGAGCUGCCUCUAGGCAGGGGCUGGGGUGACUUGUGGUCACCAGGCAUGACGGGCUGGUGGGGGAAGGGGAGGUGGUGAACGUGGGCGAGUUCUCAGUGGUGGCCUGCCUGGCCAGGAGGUGAGACCACCCUCCCCUGAAGGGUGCAGCUUCCGUGGAGAGCCAGGCUCUACUCAGGAGCACCAGAGUCAGAGCAAGGGGAUGUGGUUGGUCCCUGGUUGCUAGUAUGCACGCAUCCCCAUCAUAGGCUGCGCUCAUGCCAUGUCAGGAAUGUGCUGGUCCUGUGCCCUCUCCCCUGGUCAGUGCCAGAGUCCCUAAUAAACUUGCCCAGGCCUCGGUCUUCCAGACCGCAUAGUGCCCAGAUUCGUCAGAGAGUUUGUUCUUGCUGGGCUCCAGCCAGUUGGUCGGGUCCAGCUCUGCUUGGGCCGUGACCUCCUUGCGAGGAGGCCAAGAGUCACUUUAUCGGCCUGCCCGCUUCCCGCAUCCACAGGCACAGCCAACUCUGCAGUGAGUCGGUGUACAUGACUCUGCUCCCCCACUGUUUGGUGGUCACCCCUUUCCCUCCAAGAUGUGACUUCCUUUCCGUGUCCCAAGGGUGGCCCCCAGCCAGGGACCGUUCAAGUGCCCAUUGAGUUUGGCGCCUAACACGGUGCCCAAUUCAGUGAGAGGGGAGCGUGUUUUGCCUGGGGGUGUUCACUGUCAGCCUCCGUCCUGAACAUCAGGUCCUAAGCAGAGCCCCUCUUUUCCUGCUUUGCUCCAUGUUUAGCUGCAUGUGUGUGUUUAUUUUAAUUAUUACUGGG
Molecule: long non-coding RNA, 2586 nt
Filed under: Sus scrofa (pig)
Lineage: Eukaryota; Metazoa; Chordata; Mammalia; Artiodactyla; Suidae
Description: lncRNA (ENSSSCG00035033850.1)
Source: RNAcentral